CCAUUGGCUUCGCCGGAAAAUCCUUGUGUCGCGAUCGCGUCCGUUGCCUUGGCUAUAUAGAUAUAUGGCAUAUAGCCACACCGCCGAUGUGCGAAUAUUUUGAGCUAAAAUAUAUAUAUUUGUGCGCUGAAUAAAUACGCAAGUACACAACACACACACAUACUAUCUUUGUGAGCAAUCGCUGCGAACGUGAGAAUUGCAAGUUCGCUGUGUAGUUGUUGUAACAUCGAUGUGGAGUGUCAAUUAUGUGGAAAUAUAUUUACAAAGAUGCCCCCAGUGCGAGUGCGUGCGUGUGUGUGUGAGUUCUCCUGGCACUGAAUGUCACUAAAAGAGCGAAAGGGAGAGAGCAAGAGUGUGGGAGUGGAAGUGGGGCUGCUCUCUUUCCAGUGCGUGUAGAUCAGUUACCGCCAGCACCAACAGCAACAACAGCAACAAAUACAACAAACAAACAAACAAGCGACAAUUCACAUUCAUUUCCAUUCAUUGCUGCGAUUAUCGCCAGUUUUGCUUUACUCUUUCACCACGCACGAAUACGAAUCAGUGGGUGAAAAGAAGUGGAAGUGAGUGUGGAGAGUGUGAAGAGUGGAAAGCUGAAAAGAGAGCACAAUCAAAUCAAAUCCAAAAAGAAAAGAGAGUGUCGCGUGUGAACCGUAAGAAAAUGCGAAAGGGGAGCGGAUAAGGGCAUUGAAGCGAAUGAAGAGGAAGCAGCAACAGUCCGAAAGUUCGCUCUGGGCACGCCCCCUUAUGACGCCCCCUGUGACGCGUUAUCAGCGGACACCCAACAAACACAAAGACUUGACCAAAAUCCACACAAAAUGGCGGUAAACUCGAGUGCCAGAGAAUCGCCGCGGGCCUAAAAAAAAGUUCGUUCUCUUUAACCAAAAAAAAAAACAAAACAAAAAAGGAGGUAAACAAACUCGUUUUUGCCCCACAACAACCUACGUUACCACCCUCCCCUGAAAAUCCAAAGAUCCCGCCGAACCCACCAGAAUCAGCGAUAAGCAUCCCAAAGUUUGGGUGGCCCAGUCCACAGAAAACCCCGCACCAAACCCGAAACAAUCGCCUAAGAUGUGUUCCCGCAACAUAAAGAUCUCGGUGGUGCUGUUUCUCGUCUUGAUACCAAUCUUCGCCGCCUUGCCACACAACCACAAUCUGUCGAAGCGCAGCAAUUUCUUCGAUCUGGAGUGCAAGGGCAUCUUCAACAAGACCAUGUUCUUCCGACUGGAUCGCAUCUGCGAGGAUUGCUAUCAGUUGUUCCGCGAGACGAGUAUACACCGAUUAUGCAAGAAAGACUGCUUUGAUUCAAAAUGGUUUGGCUCAUGCCUGAAAGUGCUGUUAAUACCCGAAGAGGAAAUUUCGAACUUACAGCACUUUCUGAGAGUAGUGAAUGGCUCGCCCAUAUCCUUCAACAUGGCGCCGGAAACAUAACUCUAAGUUCCCGCCCCGCCCCCUCACACACACACACACACACACGCCCAAAAGCUCACCCAAACACACACACACACAGAUGAAAAUCGCUGCAAGUAAGGUGGAAGGGAUACAUAUAUCCAAUCCAACUACAAACCACAAAUGCAGAGCCAGAACAAAGAAAUCUAAAAUAUUAAAACGCCCAAAUUUAAUUCGUACUUAUUUAUUACUGUAUGCCUAACAGUUUUUAGUAUAUGUGUUUUUUUAAAAACGAAUUAUUUUUAUUAAUUUAUUGAGAACGUUAUGCGUUUGUUGUAAGUAACAUAAUCGGGCGAGUGAGAGAUAAGCGAAGAUAUGAUAUGAUAUGAUAUGAUGUUGAGAGGUUCGCAGAUCUCAUAGCUCCCCAAAAAUUCAAAUAGAAGCCGAAGUAUUUAUUUUUAAGUAUUCUUAGCUUGUUUUAUUAUUAUUGCGUUAUGCGUUAUGUAUAUAAAAUAAACAAAACGAAAUCCAUUGUUUUUAAUCUAUGUAAUGUAAAAUGAUUACUUUUAUUUUUGUAUUUGUAUUCUAUUGUAAAAUCAGCAUUUAAAAUUUACAUUUUACACGAUUUUCCGCAAGGGCGAAAAGAUAAAGAUAAAAGAUAAUAUACACACACACACACACACAUACACCGCACACGAGACCGAAAGUAUUUUGCAAAUGUAUUACCCUUACAAUUUUGUGCUAUUUUGUAAAGAUUAAAACCCUAACUAGCAUAAAUCUGUUGGCGAAAAGAGCAAAUAUAUGCCUACAUAUAUAACUAUCUAAAAACGCUAAAUCCUACAUUUAUCCGAAUACGAGUACACUACAAAUAUUUACAAAAAAAAAGAAUACGCAAGAACGCAAUUUGUGCAAGACACAAACAAAAACCCCUGGUAAAAACACGCGAGAAAGGACUGCAUUACAAAUGUGGCCAUAUCGAUUAUAAACCCAUGUAAAAUAAUAAAAGAUAAUCAUUCGCUGGCUAUUUGAGAGCAUCAAAAUUGUGAUAAAUGAGAAUUAGAAUGCGAAUGCACGACGCAAAACGGCCAGAGAUCCACAGAACCGAAAGGGGAUCGCUAUAGAGGCGGCGAAAGAGACACACAGCCGCCAGAGAAAGAGAUCGCCAUAGAGGAGGCGAAAGAGACGGACAUACAGCAGCUGGCGACUUGCGCGCGUUUUAGGCGCGACUAUAAACGCCUGCUUACCGUUUUUGUUUGGCAAGAAUGCUUCGGAUCGCCCUUCUUCAACGCCUGCAUAGAGGCUCUUCAGCUGCACGAGGAGAUGGACAAGUAUAACGAAUGGCGCGAUACCCUGGGACGCAAGUAAACUGCGAAUAUCUACGAUUUUCUGGCACCGUCACUGGCACGAGCAGCUACUUAAUUCUAUAAACUAUUAACUAAAACUAUUAUUAUUGAUAACUGUGGCAGAACACGGCACGAAAAAAUGGCAACCAGGAAACGAUCAACCCGAGGAAUGUGUACCACUUAAGGAAAUAAAUAAAUUAAAUAGCAAGAGAAAAAGCAGAUCAAAAAUUAAAAAAAAAAAAAAUGAUGAAAACAGUUACUAAAACUAUUACACGAUACUUAUCCACACCGAUAUUGAAAAGUGAAAAUUGGUCUAUAUUUAUUUCUAUUAUUACCCCCAUCAUGCACAUCGAUCCGUUAAUCAGUCUCGUGGAGCUUUUAGUUUUAGAAAAAACGACGAGAAUUAUGCUAACUUUUUUCAGUUCUUCGCGCAAGAGCAGAGCAAGAAAAGAAAGCCAACAGGAAAAAAUGAAAACGAACGAACGAACAAGAAUCAAAAUGUCUGAUGUAAAUAAAUUAUUUUGUCUUCUUUUAAAGAUUUCUAUACAUACAUAUUUAUAACGCCUAACUAUUUUGUACAUUUCUUUUAUUUCGUAAGUUUAAGUUAACUUGUUACGGCAAUAAAUUUUACGUUCCACCACAUCCCCCACAUUUGCACCCCGCGCAAUAGAACCGAAAACACACAUCCGAAAGCGAGAAACCCCAAACCCAAAUUCAAUUCGAUUCUAUGUACUAUUGCAUAUGCCCUACAAUUACAUAACUAUUAAUUAAUUUAAACUUGUUUGGAUCUAGUCGUAAAAUAUAAAUAAAGAUUGUAUAUUUCAAGAGGA
This is an RNA transcript of Drosophila subpulchrella, 3559 nucleotides long. It is a transcript of the gene named ion transport peptide, with no coding region annotated. The transcript is spliced from 4 exons. The record is from RefSeq and is a predicted model, not a curated record. NCBI's taxonomy places the organism in Eukaryota, Metazoa, Arthropoda, Insecta, Diptera, Drosophilidae.